AUACCAAUAGCUUAAUUGGAUAAAGCAUCCGUUUCCUAUACGGAAGAUUCCGGGUUCAAUUCCCGUUUGGUAUG
This 74-nucleotide transfer RNA is filed under the name Alosa alosa (allis shad). RNAcentral's name for it is "tRNA-Arg". It matches the Rfam family "tRNA". Rfam says of the family: Transfer RNA (tRNA) molecules are approximately 80 nucleotides in length. The record is from RNAcentral. Lineage: Eukaryota; Metazoa; Chordata; Actinopteri; Clupeiformes; Clupeidae.